UACGUAGGGUGCAAGCGUUAGUCGGAAUUACUGGGCGUAAGGCGUGCGCAGGCGGUUCUAUAAGACAGAUGUGAAAUCCCCGGGCUCAACCUGGGAACUGCAUUUGUGACUGUAGAGCUGGAGUGCGGCAGAGGGGGAUGGAAUUCCGCGUGUAGCAGUGAAAUGCGUAGAUAUGCGGAGGAACACCGAUGGCGAAGGCAAUCCCCUGGGCCUGCACUGACGCUCAUGCACGAAAGCGUGGGGAGCAAACAGG
Molecule: ribosomal RNA, 253 nt
Filed under: uncultured bacterium
Lineage: Bacteria
Description: partial 16S ribosomal RNA
Rfam family: Bacterial small subunit ribosomal RNA
Source: RNAcentral